UGGGGAAUAUUGCACAAUGGGGGAAACCCUGAUGCAGCGACGCCGCGUGAACGAAGAAGGUAUUCGUAUCGUAAAGUUCUGUCCUAUGGGAAGAUAAUGACAGUACCAUAGAAGAAAGCUCCGGCUAAAUACGUGCCAGCAGCCGCGGUAAUACGUAUGGAGCGAGCGUUGUCCGGAAUUAUUGGGCGUAAAGGGUACGCAGGCGGUUUAAUAAGUCGAAUGUUAAAGAUCGGGGCUCAACCCCGCAAAGCAUUGGAAACUGAUAAACUUGAGUAGUGGAGAGGAAAGUGGAAUUGCUAGUGUAGUGGUGAAAUACGUAGAUAUUAGGAGGAAUACCAGUAGCGAAGGCGACUUUCUGGACACAAACUGACGCUGAGGUACGAAAGCGUGGGGAGCAAACAGG
RNAcentral lists this ribosomal RNA (403 nucleotides) under bacterium. Its description in RNAcentral is "partial 16S ribosomal RNA". It matches the Rfam family "Bacterial small subunit ribosomal RNA", at positions 355 to 776 of the family's 1533-position model. The record is from RNAcentral.